This 77-nucleotide transfer RNA is filed under the name Candidatus Bathyarchaeota archaeon. Its description in RNAcentral is "tRNA-Ser". It matches the Rfam family "tRNA". From Rfam's summary of the family: Transfer RNA (tRNA) molecules are approximately 80 nucleotides in length. Their secondary structure includes four short double-helical elements and three loops (D, anti-codon, and T loops). Further hydrogen bonds mediate the characteristic L-shaped molecular structure. tRNAs have two regions of fundamental functional importance: the anti-codon, which is responsible for specific mRNA codon recognition, and the 3' end, to which the tRNAs corresponding amino acid is attached (by aminoacyl-tRNA synthetases). tRNAs cope with the degeneracy of the genetic code in two manners: having more than one tRNA (with a specific anti-codon) for a particular amino acid; and 'wobble' base-pairing, i.e. permitting non-standard base-pairing at the 3rd anti-codon position. The record is from RNAcentral. Lineage: Archaea; Thermoproteati; Candidatus Bathyarchaeota.
GGGACCGUAGAUUAGCUGGGAUAGAUCAGAGACCUGCUAAGUCUAAAACAGAGGUUCAAAUCCUCUCGGUCCCGCCA